Molecule: ribosomal RNA, 1210 nt
Filed under: Escherichia coli
Lineage: Bacteria; Pseudomonadati; Pseudomonadota; Gammaproteobacteria; Enterobacterales; Enterobacteriaceae
Description: bacterial SSU rRNA
Rfam family: Bacterial small subunit ribosomal RNA
Source: RNAcentral
CGGGCAUUGGGGGCGGCCUAACCAUGCAGUCGAACGGUAACAGGAAGCAGCUUGCUGCUUUGCUGACGAGUGGCGGACGGGUGAGUAAUGUCUGGGAAACUGCCUGAUGGAGGGGGAUAACUACUGGAAACGGUAGCUAAUACCGCAUAACGUCGCAAGACCAAAGAGGGGGACCUUCGGGCCUCUUGCCAUCGGAUGUGCCCAGAUGGGAUUAGCUAGUAGGUGGGGUAACGGCUCACCUAGGCAACAAUCCCUAGCUGGUCUGAGAGGAUGACCAGCCACACUGGAACUGAAACACGGUCCAAACUCCUACGGGAGGCAGCAGUGGGGAAUAUUGCACAAUGGGCGCAAGCCUGAUGCAGCCAUGCCGCGUGUAUGAAGAAGGCCUUCGGGUUGUAAAGUACUUUCAGCGGGGAGGAAGGGAGUAAAGUUAAUACCUUUGCUCAUUGACGUUACCCGCAGAAGAAGCACCGGCUAACUCCGUGCCAGCAGCCGCGGUAAUACGGAGGGUGCAAGCGUUAGUCGGAAUUACUGGGCGUAAAGCGCACGCAGGCGGUUUGUUAAGUCAGAUGUGAAAUCCCCGGGCUCAACCUGGGAACUGCAUCUGAUACUGGCAAGCUUGAGUCUCGUAGAGGGGGGUAGAAUUCCAGGUGUAGCGGUCAAAUGCAUAGAGAUCUGGGAGGAAUACCGGUGGCGAAGGCGGCCCCCUGGACUAACACUGAUGCUCAGGUGCAAAAUCGUGGGAGCAAAGGGGGAUUAGAUACCCUGGUAGUCCCCCCCCUAAACUAUUUCGACUUGGACGUUGUGCCCUUGAUUCGUGGCCUCCUCGAGCUAACUCGUUUUGUCCACCACCUGAGGAAUACCCCCGGCGUGGGUCAACUCAUAUGAUUUGUCAUGUGCCCACCCCACGCGGGUGGAGCUUUGUCGUUUUAUUAUUUUCACACGAUAUCCCUCCCUGUCUUGACAUCCCCGAAGUUUUUAUAUAUCGAGAUGGUUUCCUUCGGGACAGAUGAGACAGGAGCAGAGUGGAUGUCGUCCGCUCGCUGCCUCGCGAAUGGUAGGGAUAGUACCCCCAACGAGCGUCAUCCUUAAUCCUUGUGGCCGCGUUCGGCCGGACUCGAAGGAAUUCCCUCGAUACCUGGCGAGUGGAUGACGUCAGUCAUCUGACUUGGACUGUUCUCACAGUCUAGAUUGUGCGUCACAGAGAGCA